Ictidomys tridecemlineatus (thirteen-lined ground squirrel) is the source of this 560-nucleotide non-coding RNA. NCBI's taxonomy places the organism in Eukaryota, Metazoa, Chordata, Mammalia, Rodentia, Sciuridae. The record is from RefSeq and is a predicted model, not a curated record.
GACAUAUAUAACAAGGACUGGGACUGGGGUGGAUCAUUGGGAGGCUGAAACAUUGUUAAGGAAACCUGCAUAUCAGAGAAGCCUAAUAUGGAACAGUCAACUGCAAGCACAGAACAGUUACGCCUAAAAACCAAAGGGAAGAAGGAAAAGAAGAUCUCCUCUCAACAAAGGACCAAAACCAGUGGCAAGAUGCAGGAGAAAUCAGCCAAGGCUAAAAAAAACCUUCAAAGGAAUCCCAGGAAAAAAUGUUCUCCAUCAUCCCCUUCCUGUUCAAGAAGGUCUAGGGGAAUAGUUAGACCAACAAUAUUCAUCUGUUUCCACAAAAUGAAUAAGAUGCAGAAUAGCCAGCAGAUCAGGAGCAAAAGACACUGGAGAAUCCAGCCAUUCCAUGUCACAACCUGUGCAGCCAGUAAAUGCAGAGCCUGGGCCAGAGACUUAGAAUUAGCAGCAGCAUCUUCAGAGGUAACUGUGGAGAAAUGGGCUGUCACAUAGAGACCAAAUGUGAAGCCAACGGGAUCAUGGAAUUUAACAACUGAAAUAAAAUCCAUCAGAAGCAAAAA